UCCGACUUAAUAUCGACAAUCUCACUAGAAUGCCCAACUCAAUGCUAACAACUAACGAUAAAAAUUACACUCGUUACAAAACUUAACCCAACAUCUCACGACACGAACUGACGACAGCCACGCAACACCUAACUACAGAUUCUCCGAAGAGCACCCCGACCUUUCGCCGCCUGUCACUAGCCGUUCGAGCCCAGGUAAGGUUCUUCGCGUUGCGUCGAAUUAAACCACAUACUCCACCGCUUGUGCGGGCCCCCGUCAAUUCCUUUGAGUUUCGGCCUUGCGACCGUACUCCCCAGGCGGGAUACUUAAUGCGUUAGCUUCGGCACGAAGGGAUUCAAUCCCCCUCACACCAAGUAUCCAUCGUUUAGGGCUAGGACUAC
Molecule: unclassified non-coding RNA, 380 nt
Filed under: uncultured Acidobacteriota bacterium
Lineage: Bacteria; Pseudomonadati; Acidobacteriota
Description: uncultured Acidobacteria bacterium contains 16S-23S intergenic spacer region
Source: RNAcentral